This 956-nucleotide long non-coding RNA is filed under the name Olea europaea subsp. europaea. Lineage: Eukaryota; Viridiplantae; Streptophyta; Magnoliopsida; Lamiales; Oleaceae. The record is from RNAcentral.
UUUAAGGGGUCGAAGUUUAGAUGGAUUAAGAAUAUCUGUAGUCUGUCGAUAGUAAAAUCAAGAAAAGUUUGAAUGCCGCAUUGUCAAAUUUUCUUUUGAAUUACAUUAUCACAAGCAAUUGUUUCUUUCCUGAAUCUCAAUAAAUAUCCUAAGAUAUGACCUUAAAGUCAAAGUGAACACUAUCAAUGAUCCUCAUUUUUUAUGCUGAUCAUUUACAAUGCAUGGUGUUGAAAAGUAAGAAAACUGCAUUUACUUAUUUGUUGGUUCAUGUUUGAAGGUACGUUUAUGAGAUGGCUUCAAGUAAAUUGCUAUUAGUUUUUCAUGCAACUUUUGGUUACAAAAGAUUUGAUCAAGUUGUGCGUUUCUUUCUAUUAUGAUUCUCGUAAACCAAAUUACUUCUUUCAUUGUGAUUUCUCUUUUGGCCUGUAUGUCAAGUUAUUAAUCCUAGCUCCUAUUUAACCGUGUAAAAUUUCCCCCUUUCUUCCAGGUUGACAUGCGAGCUCGAAUUCGUGGAAACAAAGGUUACUAGUUGUUGGUGGAUCAUUUGCUUUAAAAAUACGUGGAGUGAUGCAACAUUCAUGAGAUUGAACUUCCAAAACCCAGCCCCAACAGCCCGAUGAAGGAUGGCGAUAGAGAGUAAAGACCUUGAAAUUUCACUUGCCAAACCUGAUCUAUUAUGCUUGUUUAGUGAAUGUAAAGAAAUUCAGAUUUCUAGUUAAUACUUGGGCAAGGAUUUUAUUUUUCGACACUAAAUAAGAGGAAUUAUCUAGUCAAAAAGAUACAAGCAUGUUUGGUAUAUUGGACUUGAAACCUAAUCCUAUUCUUCCACAUGCUGAACAUACAAGUAAAGCAUUUUACUUGGUUUUUAGAAAUUUUUAAGGGGGAGUAUAACUUUUGCUACUACAUUUAUUAAAUUUUUAUAAUAUUGAAACGUGGAUUAUCCAAUUGGAAUGUGA